GGCUGGUCGGAAGGUAGUGAGUUACCUCACUUGAUUGUUCACAGUCAGUUACAGAUUGAACUCAUUGUUCUACUCUCUCCUCUCCCCUGUUCACUACUGCACUUGACUAGUCUUAA
Otolemur garnettii (small-eared galago) is the source of this 116-nucleotide unclassified non-coding RNA. It matches the Rfam family "Y RNA". From Rfam's summary of the family: Y RNAs are components of the Ro ribonucleoprotein particle (Ro RNP), in association with Ro60 and La proteins. The Y RNAs and Ro60 and La proteins are well conserved, but the function of the Ro RNP is not known. NCBI's taxonomy places the organism in Eukaryota, Metazoa, Chordata, Mammalia, Primates, Galagidae. The record is from Ensembl.